CCUACGGGUGGCAGCAGUGAGGAAUAUUGGUCAAUGGGCGAUAGCCUGAACCAGCCAAGUAGCGUGAAGGAUGACUGCCCUAUGGGUUGUAAACUUCUUUUAUAUGGGAAUAAAGUGCAGUAUGUAUACUGCAUUGCAUGUACAUUAUGAAUAAGGAUCGGCUAACUCCGUGCCAGCAGCAGCGGUAAUACGGAGGAUCCGAGCGUUAUCCGGAUUUAUUGGGUUUAACGGGAGCGUAGGCGGGUUGUUAAGUGCGUUGUGAAAGUUUGCGGCUCAACCGUAAACUUGCAGUUGAUACUGGCAGCCUUGAGUACAGUAGAGGUAGGCGGAAUUCGUGGUGUAGCGGUGAAAUGCUUAGAUAUCACGAAGAACUCCGAUUGCGAAGGCAGCCUGCUGGACUGUAACUGACGCUGAUGCUCGAAAGUGUGGGUAUCAAACAGGAUUAGAUACCCUUGUAGUC
Molecule: ribosomal RNA, 460 nt
Filed under: uncultured bacterium
Lineage: Bacteria
Description: partial 16S ribosomal RNA
Rfam family: Bacterial small subunit ribosomal RNA
Source: RNAcentral